RNAcentral lists this transfer RNA (71 nucleotides) under Ictidomys tridecemlineatus (thirteen-lined ground squirrel). RNAcentral's name for it is "Spermophilus tridecemlineatus (thirteen-lined ground squirrel) tRNA". It matches the Rfam family "tRNA". From Rfam's summary of the family: Transfer RNA (tRNA) molecules are approximately 80 nucleotides in length. Their secondary structure includes four short double-helical elements and three loops (D, anti-codon, and T loops). The record is from Rfam by way of RNAcentral. Lineage: Eukaryota; Metazoa; Chordata; Mammalia; Rodentia; Sciuridae.
AGGGAUAUAGCUCAGUGGUAGAGUGCUUGCCUAGCUAUUCAAGACCCUGGGUUCAAUCCCCAGUAUUGCAA